Molecule: transfer-messenger RNA, 368 nt
Filed under: Agrobacterium sp. a22-2
Lineage: Bacteria; Pseudomonadati; Pseudomonadota; Alphaproteobacteria; Hyphomicrobiales; Rhizobiaceae
Rfam family: Alphaproteobacteria transfer-messenger RNA
About the family: Bacterial tmRNA, also known as 10Sa RNA or SsrA, is named for its dual tRNA and mRNA-like properties. Its role is to liberate the mRNA from a stalled ribosome.
Source: RNAcentral
CCCCUUUUCAUCCACCCGAUAAGCGCCUAUAUGAAUGUCGCCGGGGCUUGCUCCGGCUAUAGCAAUAAACGGUCGGUGUAAUAAACCUAUUGGACCCGGGGGCGGUACCCGGCGCCUCCACCAAAAACCGGUCGGUCUUCGUGACCGGCUUUUGAUGGGGGCGAAAUAGGAUCGACAAGGGCGUAAAGAUCGAACUUUUGCUCGGCAUGAUACCGCCGUUAUCGGGUCACAAGUGUAGUUGCAAAUGACAACAACGCUAAGGGUUAUGCUCUCGCUGCCUAAUGGCGGUGCGGGAAAUCCGAACCAAGUCCUCUAGGUUAGCCCCUUGAGGCGGGGUCCGAAGGCACCUGGCAACAGAAGCCUUCACC